GGCUCUUCUCAUGACAUCUAGCUAGAUGGCAUCUGCUUUGUAACAGAAGAUUUGAAUCAGACAACUGUACUCAACACUAGACAGUGUCUAGAUUAUUUCUGCAAAGAAAUGAGGCUUUGCUCUGCAUGGCAUCCACUGAGCUUUUAAAGAUUACAGAUGAGCAAGGGUUUCAAAAAAAAAAAGUUAGAAAAAUCAAAAACAAAGCUUUAUAGCCACUUCAGAAAGCCUGGAUGUUUAACCUGUAAGGAAGUCCGUCAAAUCCUGUGGAAACCAUAGAGAGAAAAGAUCAAUAGGAUACCUACUGGCUCCAUUAGCUUCAUGUAAAAUGGGGAGAGGGAAGCUGCUCUUCGGCAAGAGAAACUACAUUAUUCCAGGGAUUAUGCUGGAUCAGUUCACUUCGCAGAGGAGAAGAGAAAGUGAAUGAAGGUUCUUGGUGGGCCAAGACUCCAGAGAAAGGGCUUGCCAGGUUUCAAUUGGCCAUCUUCCAGACACUCCCUGAUGAGACAGGACUGAUCACAUUCAAGUCAGAACUUGGAAAGCUUACCCACGAGAAGUUGCUCACGAGAGAUUAUUUGACAUUGGCCACAGACUCUUACUGAGCAGCCUUGGCCAUCGUUUAGUACUUCGGGCUUCUUCAACCAUGAAGUAUGAAUCAUCAUGGUUGUUUCCUCAGGUUGUCAAAACAUUUGCCUGACAUGUGAAGAGUGUGCCCAGUAAAAUUGUAAAAUCCAAACCUACUUGUCUAGGUUAGUUUUUAUUGUCAACUUAAUACAACAUAGAGUCACUUGGGAUGAGGAGAGUUCAAUGAGGGAUUGUCUAGAUCAAAUUAUUUGUGGCCUUGUUUGUGAGAGAUUGUCUUGAUUGAAGAUCAGCAUAGGAGGGCCCAGCCCACUGUGGGUGACACCAUUCCUAGGCAGAUGCAGAAGAAAUCUAGCUGAGCAAGCAGAGAGCCAGCUAGUAAGUAGUGUUCCUCUAUGCUUUCUGCAUUAAUUCAUGCCCUGACUUCUCCAGGUGAUGGAUUAUGAUUUGGAAAUCCAAGCUGAAAUAAACCCUUUCCUCUCCAUGUUUUGGUCAUGGCAUUCAUCAUAGCAUUAGAAAGUUGCCUUAUUUUUCUUAACCUAGGGAUCUGCAGUUCCAUCUAUACUGUAAAUUACUACCCUGUAAUUAUAGACUUGGUGAAUGAAUAUUCUGUAUGCACAUAUUUUCUGUAUCAGUUUAUUUGUUGAUGGCCAUCUAGGCUUGUUCCACAAUUCCACAUGGUUAUGAACAUGGCUGUACAGUGUCUCUGUGAUAUUCUUAUUAGAUUACUUCAUUGAUAUGCCCAGGAGUGGUGUAGCUGGGUCAUAUUGUAGUUGGAUUCUUUGUGUUAUAUGUAACCACCACUCUCAUUUCCAUAUACAUGGGUGCUAAUUUCUUUGAGCUACUGUCUUUGAGCCUAUAAAGUACACAAACACAUAGGCAACUUCAAGAAUAGACUUAGGCAAUUUAAACAUAUUAACAAAGUAACUUUGCUUUAUAUAUAAAGCACUGGAACUUAUAAUUUUGUUAAAUGGCUUUACUUCUAUAAAUUUGAUAUUUAAGGACUCCAAGUAGAUGUACACAAAUUUUGUUAUUAGAAGAGCGGUAUAAUGUUGAAGCAAAAAUAAAAUUUAAUAAAUGCAGUGUUUAAAAC
Peromyscus californicus insignis is the source of this 1672-nucleotide long non-coding RNA. RefSeq lists it as uncharacterized. The transcript has 3 exons. The record is from RefSeq and is a predicted model, not a curated record. Lineage: Eukaryota; Metazoa; Chordata; Mammalia; Rodentia; Cricetidae.